GUGGGCUAACUUUCUCUUUGGUGUUUGCGCUGCAGUUUGAAUGACUGCAACGGAUACAAAGGAUUUCGUGCAAACCGUUACAUGAUAUUGUGAAAUUCUGCAACAGCUGUGGUAUCUAAUUACUGCCCGUUAUCGACAUAUCGAUGAAGUGAUUUUAUUUUUUUGCAGCCAGAUGAGGGUAUUUUUUGUAACUGUCAUUUUUUAUUUUCUCUGCACUUAAAAAUCUAUACAAGCAAACAUUCUUGUUUCUAACAUGCAUAUUUAUGGAUCAAUCAUUAACUCUACAUAAAAAAAAUGUAGUAAAAAUUUUGUUCCUUUGAGUAAACAAACAAAAAAGGAUGCAAUUAAGUUUUUUGUAACGGGAUGGUGGCAAUUAAGUUUUUUUGUAACGGGAUGUUGGUGGUUCAUGCUGUUUGACAUCUUCUUUAAUUUUGACUGCACAGAAGAAAUCAAUGCAUUUGAAGGUCUGAUUGAGGUUUUGAUCAAACACUUCACAGCAAAACAACGUACAAAUUGUUAUUUCAUUGACAAAAAGAAGGAUUGGACUAUAAGCCUUCAAUAUUAUCUUGAAUUUUAAGUUAUUCAAUAACACAUUUAUAUUUGUAGAAAAA
RNAcentral lists this long non-coding RNA (611 nucleotides) under Mytilus galloprovincialis (Mediterranean mussel). The record is from RNAcentral. Lineage: Eukaryota; Metazoa; Mollusca; Bivalvia; Mytilida; Mytilidae.